RNAcentral lists this transfer-messenger RNA (366 nucleotides) under Oscillospiraceae. RNAcentral's name for it is "CAG-103 sp902760845 Standard tmRNA". It matches the Rfam family "transfer-messenger RNA". From Rfam's summary of the family: Bacterial tmRNA, also known as 10Sa RNA or SsrA, is named for its dual tRNA and mRNA-like properties. Its role is to liberate the mRNA from a stalled ribosome. The record is from RNAcentral. Lineage: Bacteria; Bacillati; Bacillota; Clostridia; Eubacteriales. RNAcentral also lists the same sequence under 1 other name.
GGGGAUGAUUUGGUUUCGACGGGGGUGUGGAGGCAGGAAUAGCGGGCGGCGGCGCCUGACCGCCAUAAAACGGGCAACCUUAUAAAUCAAAGAACAACAACGAACCUGUUCUUCUCGCUGCUUAACUAGCGAGCGUUCCCGCCGGGAGGCCCACGGCCCGGCAGCGGAGCGUCGAUUCGUGGGGAACGUGCGCGCGGUAAGCUUUGCCCGUGCCACGCAUCAUGAAGCUACCGGAGCGGACCGGCUUGCGUGUUGGCCGCCGUGACGGGAACGGAGGAGUCCGCUUCUCAAAACAACCCGCUGCGCCCGGAGAAGUUCCUGUUCAAGCGCUUUCGGACGGGGGUUCGAUUCCCCCCAUCUCCACCA